AGCUCCAAUAGCGUAUAUUAAAGUUGUUGCAGUUAAAAAGCUCGUAGUUGGCUUUCGGGCUGGUGCCACCGUUGUUUUAGCCUGCGCUAGCAAUAGCAAAAGGCGGACUUUGGUGUGGCCAGUUCUAUUGUUUGGGCUCUCCGGAGAACAAGCAAAUUUUUUUUUCUGUGGAAAGCCGCCAACUGCUCUUUACUGAGUGGGUGGGAAAUAACGGAGUUCCACACGUUUACUUUGAGUAAAUUAGAGUGUUCAAAGCAGGCAUUUGCCGUGAAUACGUUAGCAUGGAAUAAUGGAACAGGACUUUGGUCAUGUUUUGUUGGUUUUUGAGGACCGAAGUAAUGAUUAAUAGGGAUAGUUGGGGGCAUUCGUAUUUCAUUGUCAGAGGUGAAAUUCUUGGAUUUAUGAAAGACGAACUAAUGCGAAAGCAUCUGCCAAGGAUGUUUUCA
This 446-nucleotide ribosomal RNA is filed under the name uncultured eukaryote. RNAcentral describes it as "SSU rRNA". It matches the Rfam family "Eukaryotic small subunit ribosomal RNA", at positions 587 to 972 of the family's 1831-position model. The record is from RNAcentral.